ACAAAGAGGGAUGAAUGGAUGAAGAUGGAGUAUAAAACAUCCUAGAAGGUUCACCUCUUGAGAUCAUAUAGAAGAUGAUUCAAGUGUGUCCUUUGGAAUAGGCAGUGAGCAAUAACAAACAAGCAAAGCAAAAGAGGAAAGUCAACAAAAGCGGAUACCGGAUGCCAAUCACUGGACUUAUACCAAUCUCCUAAAACGAAACUGGAUAUCAGAGGCCACUCUAUGGACUUA
Molecule: long non-coding RNA, 231 nt
Filed under: Lathyrus oleraceus (garden pea)
Lineage: Eukaryota; Viridiplantae; Streptophyta; Magnoliopsida; Fabales; Fabaceae
Description: Pisum sativum (pea) long non-coding RNA (PSAT_LNC001732)
Source: RNAcentral